RNAcentral lists this ribosomal RNA (492 nucleotides) under uncultured bacterium. Its description in RNAcentral is "partial 16S ribosomal RNA". It matches the Rfam family "Bacterial small subunit ribosomal RNA", at positions 29 to 507 of the family's 1533-position model. The record is from RNAcentral.
AGUGAACGCUGGCGGUGGGCCUAACACAUGCAAGUCGAACGGCAGGACGGUAAGCUUUUGCUCUUGCUGGUGGCGGCUGGCGGGCGGGUGAGGAGUACAUAGGCAUCUAAUUUUUCGUGGAGGACUACGUAGGGAAAUAUACGCUACUAGAGCAUACUACGUACGGGUGGAAGCAGGAGAUCUUGGGAGCUUUGGUGUUUGUAUGAGACGAUGUCGGAUUAGCUAGUUGGCGGGGUAAAGGCCCACCAAGGCGACGAUCCGUAGCUGGUCUGAGAGGAUGAUCAGCCACACUGGAACUGAGACACGGUCCAGACUCCUACGGGAGGCAGCAGUGGGGAAUAUUGGACAAUGGGCGCAAGCCUGAUCCAGCCAUACCGCGUGGGUGAAGAAGGCCUUCGGGUUGUAAAGCCCUUUUGUUGGGAAAGAAAAGCAGCAGGUUAAUACCCCGCUGUUCUGACGGUACCCAAAGAAUAAGCACCGGCUAACUUCGUG